This 821-nucleotide long non-coding RNA is filed under the name Helianthus annuus (common sunflower). The record is from RNAcentral. Lineage: Eukaryota; Viridiplantae; Streptophyta; Magnoliopsida; Asterales; Asteraceae.
UUGACACCUAACGAGCUAGAUGGAAGCUUGUGGAUGAAGCGGGUCAAACGGAGCAAGUACGGAAAGAAAAGCGAGGCAUGGAUGCAAGUUUCAAAUACAUUAAGAAUAAUUUUCAAGAUAUGGUUCCCGACGCGAAAUAAUACGGGUCGGAACUAACAUAAAUGAUAAAAACCAUGUUUAAUGGUAAAAGAGAUAGAACGGUAAAUUAGCCAUGAAAAGCUAAUUAUAAAAAUGGGUUUUUGAACGGCAACUAUAAGUAAGCCUAAUGAAUAAAAAGAGUAAAACGGGUCAAAUAGUAAUGUGGAUACCAUUUGACAAAUAUCGACUAAUAAGCACUUGUCGAGUUUUAUGCUUACAGGAUAAAGUAGCUUAUGAAUUAGCGUUGCUAUGAAUUAGCAAAUUUUUGAGACAAGGUAUUAAAACGGGUCAAUGUAUUGAUCCGAGCCAGGUACGUGUAAUUAUGUUAUAGUUAAAAGUGAUUAAAGCAUGGAUAUUGCUUCGUAACAUGAUUGAUUGUUCUAUUGUUGACAAUUGAAUAUUGACAUAUUAAAACACGAGAAUUUAAUAUGUUGGUUGUUAGAAUAAAAGAUUCGAGAAAUUGGUAUGGGCAACACAAACAAAACAGUCAAAAACUUACAUGUGCAGAGGCUACCGUAAGUUACGGUACCACCGUAACUUACGGUAGAGGUCAGAAGGCUACGGUAAAUUACCGCUGUGUUACGGUGGAACCAUAGUUUUCCAGAAGCCACCAUAACUUACGGUGACUACCGUAAGUUACGGUGGAGCCCUAAAAUGAAUAUUGAACUUUGUCUAUUUUCUGA